This 76-nucleotide transfer RNA is filed under the name Candidatus Dormiibacterota bacterium. RNAcentral describes it as "tRNA-Val". It matches the Rfam family "tRNA". From Rfam's summary of the family: Transfer RNA (tRNA) molecules are approximately 80 nucleotides in length. Their secondary structure includes four short double-helical elements and three loops (D, anti-codon, and T loops). Lineage: Bacteria; Bacillati; Candidatus Dormiibacterota. The record is from RNAcentral. RNAcentral also lists the same sequence under 5 other names.
GGGCGGUUAGCUCAGCUGGGAGAGCGCUGGUAUCACAAGCCAGAGGUCACAGGUUCAAUCCCUGUACCGCCCACCA